UACGUAGGGUGCAAGCGUUAAUCGGAAUUACUGGGCGUAAAGCGUGCGCAGGCGGCUUUGCAAGACAGAUGUGAAAUCCCCGGGCUCAACCUGGGAACUGCAUUUGUGACUGCAUGGCUAGAGUACGGUAGAGGGGGAUGGAAUUCCGCGUGUAGCAGUGAAAUGCGUAGAGAUGCGGAGGAACACCGAUGGCGAAGGCAGCCCCCUGGGCUAACACUGACGCUGAGGCACGAAAGCGUGGGGAGCGAACGGG
This 253-nucleotide ribosomal RNA is filed under the name uncultured bacterium. RNAcentral's name for it is "partial 16S ribosomal RNA". It matches the Rfam family "Bacterial small subunit ribosomal RNA", at positions 524 to 776 of the family's 1533-position model. The record is from RNAcentral.